Molecule: unclassified non-coding RNA, 296 nt
Filed under: uncultured fungus
Lineage: Eukaryota; Fungi
Description: partial contains small subunit ribosomal RNA, internal transcribed spacer 1, and 5.8S ribosomal RNA
Rfam family: Eukaryotic small subunit ribosomal RNA (bases 1-73)
Source: RNAcentral
ACAAACUUGGUCAUUUAGAGGAAGUAAAAGUCGUAACAAGGUUUCCGUAGGUGAACCUGCGGAAGGAUCAUUACCGAGUGAGGGCCCUCUGGGUCCAACCUCCCACCCGUGUUUAUCGUACCUUGUUGCUUCGGCGGGCCCGCCUCACGGCCGCCGGGGGGCAUCUGCCCCCGGGCCCGCGCCCGUCGAAGACACCAAUGAACUCUGUCUGAAGAUUGCAGUCUGAGCGAUUAGCUAAAUCAGUUAAAACUUUCAACAACGGAUCUCUUGGUUCCGGCAUCGAUGAAGAACGCAGC